Molecule: ribosomal RNA, 472 nt
Filed under: uncultured bacterium
Lineage: Bacteria
Description: bacterial SSU rRNA
Rfam family: Bacterial small subunit ribosomal RNA
Source: RNAcentral
ACUCCUACGGGAGGCAGCAGUGGGAAUAUUGGACAAUGGGCGAAAGCCUGAUCCAGCCAUGCCGCGUGUGUGAAGAAGGCCUUAGGGUUGUAAAGCACUUUAAGCAGGAAAGAAAAGCGCCGGAUUAAUACUCCGAGCGUAUUGACGGUACCUGCAGAAUAAGCACCGGCUAACUCCGUGCCAGCAGCCGCGGUAAUACGGAGGGUGCAAGCGUUAAUCGGAAUUACUGGGCGUAAAGCGUGCGUAGGCGGUUGCGUGUGUCGGAUGUGAAAGCCCCGGGCUCAACCUGGGAAUUGCAUUCGAAACUGCGUGACUAGAAUGUGGUAGAGGAAGACGGAAUUCCACGUGUAGCGGUGAAAUGCGUAGAUAUGUGGAGGAACACCAAUGGCGAAGGCAGUCUUCUGGGCCAACAUUGACGCUGAGGUACGAAAGCGUGGGUAGCAAACAGGAUUAGAUACCCUGGUAGGCUCUG